Molecule: transfer RNA, 72 nt
Filed under: Candidatus Margulisiibacteriota bacterium
Lineage: Bacteria; Bacillati; Candidatus Margulisiibacteriota
Description: tRNA-Glu
Rfam family: tRNA
About the family: Transfer RNA (tRNA) molecules are approximately 80 nucleotides in length.
Source: RNAcentral
GGCCCCAUCGUCUAACGGUUAGGACACGACCCUCUCAAGGUUGAAAUAGGGGUUCGAUUCCCCUUGGGGCUA